ACUCCCAGCGACUCCGUCGGAAGAUUUCGCGUAGACUGCGAGUCGCGCGGUGCUCCCACGCUCGUUUCGUUUUCAACUCGUUGUGGAACUACAGGAACGUUCAACCGUGCCGUUCCAAAGACCAGUUCUCGUGCAUCGAAUAGUUUGAAGGCUUAACACGGGAUUGCAGGUCCUAAUGAAGGUCUUGAAAUCUCGCGAGAGUUCAUGGAUUUUUCCGCUUGAAGUCAUGUGUAAAUCUAAUCAGCUCGGCAUUGCAGAUAUUUGAUAAUUAGCACGGAGUUGUGAACACAAUUACUCCAAAGGCACGAUAAGCUUAUAUAAAUACGUUUAUGCAGACGGGUACCAAUUGUAAUGAUUCAAACGUAUAAUU
This is a long non-coding RNA of Orussus abietinus, 370 nucleotides long. RefSeq lists it as uncharacterized. The transcript has 3 exons. Lineage: Eukaryota; Metazoa; Arthropoda; Insecta; Hymenoptera; Orussidae. The record is from RefSeq and is a predicted model, not a curated record.